Molecule: long non-coding RNA, 896 nt
Organism: Octopus bimaculoides (California two-spot octopus)
Lineage: Eukaryota; Metazoa; Mollusca; Cephalopoda; Octopoda; Octopodidae
Source: RefSeq, a predicted model, not a curated record
CAAAAUUGAUUUUGUUGUCAAUAUAUAUGCACAUAGAAACACAUCUGAAUGCAAACUUUGUUGAUAUAAAAUUCAUGAACAAUGAGGCAUAUAGACACACAUGCAACAACACACACAGAGAAACCCCCCACUAACACACACACACACACACUCUAAUUAAUGUUCGCAGGGAAAGAGUUGACUGUGACUGUGAAGAUUCAGCUUAGUACCUGUCAUCAGACUGUAAGCCAAGACUUUGAGUAGUCCAGAUCUCACUUGUGUGUAAGAGUGCAGAUAGAAUUAUUCCAUUGAAGUGACUAAAAACAGAAUGCAGUCUGAAGACAUAGCACAAGGCUGAACAGAGGUGAGACAUGAUGAAAUCAAGAAGUUAAUAGAGUGCAUCUACUUGGAGCACACAAACAUGGCACUUGAAUAAAGGAUGCUGAAACAUUGCAGAAGAUAAGGGCAGGAUGGAAGGAAUUUACCUUGAUGAACAAUGUACAUACAUAUACACAAUGUGGUGUUACAUGUGGUGUUAUGGGCUGUGAUGAGCUAUGUGCUGUUGGUGGAGAGGGAUCGCGGAUGAAGCAAACGGAAGUGAAGACUGCAGGGGCCAGCGGAAGUCGUCACAGGCGGAUGCGUGGACAGCGAGCACAUAUGGUCAGUUCGAGCAGAGACGGCAUGCGUAGAAGUCAUGGUUUGAUCUGGAGUGAUCGUUUAUCCCGCCACGGUUGACAAGGAAAGACAUUACUACAUUACUUUCCACUUGGCAUUAAAUCUGAACCAUCACUGUGGAUAUUACUUCUUGGCUGGUUCAUUCAAAUAUCAAAAAUAAAUCUAAAGGAAUGGGAUAACAAUCAUCUUUAUUUGAUGUAACAAUAAUCAAUGAUAUAUAAUAAAUUCUUGUUUUGGUAUUA